This is a long non-coding RNA of Protopterus annectens (West African lungfish), 1568 nucleotides long. RefSeq lists it as uncharacterized. Lineage: Eukaryota; Metazoa; Chordata; Ceratodontiformes; Protopteridae. The transcript is spliced from 2 exons. The record is from RefSeq and is a predicted model, not a curated record.
AAGGACCAAGCACUGCAAGUCUGAGCCAGUGAGAAGUACCAAACCAAACAACGUGAGCGACACAAGUGAGAUGCAGUGCACUUGCACAGCCUGUGGUAGGAGUAUGACUUUCACCAUACCAGAUUUAUCCAGCACAGAGGAGACACUCUUUAUCUGUCCUUACUGUGGGGAGAGUUUCGUAGGCCAGGAGUCCAGGAAUUCGGAUCAGGAAACCCAAAGAGGUACUUUUCCAAAAAAAAAUCUGCGCCAAAAGUCAACAAGUAAGGUCCAUGGUAACAACAUCCACAAAACCAAACAAACCAAAAGAUGUGGAGGCAUUGAAAAAUUAUGUGUAUGCAGCAAAGAAUGUGGAAAACAUGAGUAAUGUUUGGCUGCCGUGUCAGUUUCUUAUGCAUGGUCACUUCGCAAAGGACACUGAGAACAAAUAUGCUCAGGCUUUCAAAUGGGGCCUGUUCUUACGUUGGUGUUAAAAUUCUCUAAAUAUCUGGACAUAUUUAAUGUGGAACAGAGAAUGACUGGCAAGAUGAAACUUAAGUGUUAUGUAAAAUUAAUUUUACAGUGAAAUUUGCUUAAACUUGAGCAUGCAUUUUCAUGCCAAAGCAUUUUGCAGCCUUGCAAAUAACAGGACUGCAGAGAUUUGAAUAGAAUCCACAACUUUUCAGAAGGGCCUAUCUAAUGCCACCUGUAAAUACCAUGGAGUCGUGUAAACUAUAUCAUGUGCUAAAGGAAGCAGGACUAGAGUUAACACAGCGAAGAGAAGUACAUGUCUGCAGUUGCUAAGUUUUCUUGUGCAGAGUUCAAAACAUCUGGAUCCAGUUCCGAGGCUGAUUGGCUUUGGCUUGACCAUAUAUGCCAUCUCAGUAACUGACAUAUCUGUUGUUGAAUAUACUGUUAUAGUGGUUUGAAGAAACGGACCUGUAGAUUUUUACUACAACAAAUGUUUAACAGAUAUUCUUGUGUAAUUGACCAGGCUGGUAUGCCUUAAAAAUGUAGACAAUGAACAGAGUCUCCAAACAAAAUCACAGAAAUAAUGUAACAAUUAAAUUCUUGCAGUAGGGAGUUCCUACAGCUUUAGGUAGGACUGUUGCCCCAGUAUUCCAUAUAAUUUUUUAUUGGAUAGUAUUUUCUGAAAGUCCUAUGCAUGUGCAUCACUGGAAUUUUGCAUUUAGCUUGGAUUUCUCAAUUGGCUAGCAGUAAAUAUUUGUUUUUCCGUAUGGUGUUUUACAAACCUAUUCAUGCAUAGCAAGCUUGUAAUAUACAGUGGAACAUGUUUCCAACCUAAUUUUAGCAAAUAUUUUGUUUCUGUGAAUAACUUAAAAAACAUAGUUCAGAGAUUUUGCAGUAUAGUUUUACCUAUCUUGGGAGCAACUGUGUUCUUAAAAUUUUAAAGUGUAUCACAUUAUAUUUCAUUGAUAUUAGAAAGCAUAUCAACUUUGUGAAACAAAUGCAACAGGAUUAAAUCAUUUAUCUGAUUGUCUGUGUUUCUUGUUAGGAAGUUAAGCAUACUAAUCAGAUGUUGCUUAUUUUCAGCAGUGACCUGUAAUGGUACAAUAAAAAUAUCAACAUCA